Pelobates cultripes (western spadefoot toad) is the source of this 257-nucleotide non-coding RNA. The record is from the annotation of a GenBank genome assembly. Lineage: Eukaryota; Metazoa; Chordata; Amphibia; Anura; Pelobatidae.
CUCCAGGCACUGUAACGGCUUCAUCUCAUUCAAGUGGUUAUAGUGUCUGGAGAGCCCUUGUGCUAUCCCUAUAAUUACUGGUAAACCUUGAUUAAUUAACGCUAAACGAGAGACUGCAGCAGCCCAUCCUCUCUCUGCUACUCAACUGAUAAAAACAUUUUUUUUAAAGAAUUACCAUAAGCAACUGUAGGUGGCAGUGAUUGACUGAGAGUGUCAGCUUUAAAUGCUUGGAAAUGCUGCACAAUACAGAGUUUAAC